Molecule: ribosomal RNA, 438 nt
Filed under: uncultured Chloroflexota bacterium
Lineage: Bacteria; Bacillati; Chloroflexota
Description: bacterial SSU rRNA
Rfam family: Bacterial small subunit ribosomal RNA
Source: RNAcentral
CAAGCAGUGGAGUAUGUGUUUAAUUCGAAGCAACGCGAAGAACCUUACCAGGGCUCGACAUCCCUUGAAGCAGCUAGAGAUUAGCUGUGUCCUUCGGGACAAGGAGACAGGUGGUGCAUGGUUGUCGUCAGCUCGUGUCGUGAGAUGUUGGGUUAAGUCCUGCAACGAGCGCAACCCUCGUCGCUAGUUGAUUUCUCUAGCGAGACUGCCCCGCAAAACGGGGAGGAAGGUGGGGAUGACGUCAAGUCAGCAUGGCCUUUAUAUCUUGGGCUACACACACGCUACAAUGGAUGGCACAAUAGGUUGCAACAGCGCGAGCUGAAGCUAAUCCCCAAAGCCAUCCUCAGUACAGAUUGCAGGCUGAAACCCGCCUGCAUGAAGUCGGAGUUGCUAGUAACCGCAAAUCAGCAUGUUGCGGUGAAUACGUUCUCGGGCCUU